RNAcentral lists this long non-coding RNA (1382 nucleotides) under Pan troglodytes (chimpanzee). Its description in RNAcentral is "long non-coding RNA NONPTRT015816". Lineage: Eukaryota; Metazoa; Chordata; Mammalia; Primates; Hominidae. The record is from RNAcentral.
CAGCGCGGACGGGCGAGCGCCGCGUGCGGGAGAGCGAAGGCUGCAGCGCGCCCGGCAGCCGGGAUGCAGCGGCGCCGCCCAAGCCUGGGGCGCAGGGGUCGGGGCACACGGGGAUAGGCCCGACGCGGGGCCGAAGGAAGGGUGGUCUUUCCCGCAGAGUUGCCGCUGGAGGACCGAAAGUUUUGCAGGCAGCCCUUGCUUCCAGCUUGUCACUCUCUCCCCGCGUCCCUGUCGCCCAACGCGAGGCGCCCCGGUUGGGGUCCCGACGGCUUGGUGGGGAGGAGCCGUGAGGGGUUGCGCCCCCCACCCCCACCCGAGCCAGGGAAGGGACCCUGGUGACCUCGCCUCCCAGCCCUCACCCCCGUCACCCCUUUCUUCUCUUUCCCGGAGGACUUUGGACCAUGGAGAUUCUGCAGUUGUUGCUCUGGGAGCUGAAACCAGUGGGUAGAUGUCGUUCUGAAACGCAGUUCUUCUUUUUGUAAAGGUGUGUCCUGAGGAACCUCAGAUUUGAAAGAAGAGUGAAUGGAAGUCAAAUGUGGAAACCACUCAAAUGUCCAUCAACUGAUGAAUGAAUAAACAAAUCGUGGUAUAUCCAUACAAGGAAUAUUAUUCACCCAUAAAAAGGAAUGAAGUCUUAAUACACCUACAACUGGAUGAACAUUGAAAACAUUAUGCUAUCCAUUCUGCUUCAGGUUGGAAAAAAAAAUACGAUCCUUACCUAAAGAAGCCAUCUACAAAAGGCCACAUAUUGUGUGAUUAUAUCAUAUGACCAGAAUACGCAAAUUCAUAGAGACAGAAAGCAGAUUAAUGGUUGCCAGGAACUGGGGGAAGGGGAGGAAUGAGGAGUGACUAACUGUGUUUUUCCCAUUGUGAUUUAAAAAAAAGUUCUGGAACCAGAUAGUGGUGAUGGUUGCACAACAUUGUGAAUGUACUCAGUACCACUGAAUUGUACACUUUAAAAUGGUCAGUUUUGGCUGGGCACGGUGGCUCACGCCUGUAAUCCCAGCACUUUGGGAGGCUGAGGCAGGGGAAUCACCUGAGUUCAGGAGUUCAAGACCAGCCUGGCCAACAUGGUGAAACCCCGUCUCUACUAAAAAUACAAAAAUUAGCUGGGCGUGGUGGCACAUGCCUGUAGUCCCAGCUACUCAGGAGGCUGAGGCAGGAGAAUCACUUGAAUCUGGAAGGCGGAGAUUGCAGUGAGCUGAGAUUGUGUCACUGUACUCCAGCCUGGGCAACAAAGUGAGACUCUGUCUCAAAAAAAAGAAAAGUUAGUUUUAUGUAAUGCCUAUUUUAUCACAAUAAAAAAUUAAAAGAGUGAAUGGAGUGUUGUUUUAACUCCCAUUAUGGGACCAGUUGAAAGGUUUAUAGGAUAGAGGUUGGAA